Homo sapiens (human) is the source of this 266-nucleotide long non-coding RNA. RefSeq lists it as uncharacterized. NCBI's taxonomy places the organism in Eukaryota, Metazoa, Chordata, Mammalia, Primates, Hominidae. The record is from RefSeq and is a predicted model, not a curated record. The transcript is spliced from 3 exons.
ACAAAGCAGACUUCAUAAAGAAUCAGCCUGAGUCUCCGGGCAUACUCUAACCAGGGUGAGGAGAAAGUUUCUAGUUGUGUUCAGGAGAAGUUGUCUUCCUUUUUAGAGGCUUGCAUUAUGUGAGACAACUCAGAACAAUACCAUCUACCCAGUGGAUCAAGAGACCUUGAAUCAAGAGACACCAAGUUCAGCCACUGAAAGUCUGGACAGGUCCAGAGAAUGUCAGCCCAUCAACUAGAAGGAAACUUACCUGAGAUAGCCAGAGG